This 26-nucleotide unclassified non-coding RNA is filed under the name Mus musculus (house mouse). RNAcentral describes it as "oocyte_clustered_small_RNA3341". Lineage: Eukaryota; Metazoa; Chordata; Mammalia; Rodentia; Muridae. The record is from RNAcentral.
CCACUCAAAGUCGAAUAGUGGCUGGC